Talpa occidentalis (Iberian mole) is the source of this 5573-nucleotide long non-coding RNA. RefSeq lists it as uncharacterized. The transcript has 6 exons. Lineage: Eukaryota; Metazoa; Chordata; Mammalia; Eulipotyphla; Talpidae. The record is from RefSeq and is a predicted model, not a curated record.
UCAGGAACUACCUGGAGGAACGUGCGUGGAGUUGCUGCGCAGACACCUGGUGAAUGGAAAGAAGCUGCAGUGCGCAGCAGCUAAGAGGGACUGCAGGCCUCCUACCUCCCCCCUGGCUCACUUGACUCCUGUCACAGAGCUGGUGGAGACCAGGUCUGGGGGGGGGAAGGAACCUUCCAGGAGUGGGCAGCUGUGGAGGUGCCUUCUGGAGAGGAGCAGAGAUACACGUGCCGUGUGCAGCAUGAGGGGCUGCUGGAGCCCGAGUCCUGAGAUGGGGACGUGGGCACAGAGGCUCUGCUCAGGAUCCCUUCUGGAGAACUUCAAAGAGUCAGGUUGGAGAACUGGGUUCAGAGUCUCCCCUUCCUUUCCCUAUGCACCUCCUCAGUGUUCUGUCCCCACCAUUGGCAUCAUUGCUGGCCUGGUUGUCCUUGGAGCUGUGCUCACGGGAGCUGCAAUGGCUGCAGCUGUGAUGUGGAGGAAGAAGUUCAGGAAAGUAAAUCACAAAUUGUUCACCUUCAUAAUUUUGGUGAUGGGACCUGACUCCCUGCGAUUGUCAGACUCCUUUCUUCAUAUCUCCUGGUCCUGCUCUUGGUCUUCAGUCACAGUUCUGGAAACUCCCCUGUGGUCCAGGAUUCAGGGCUUCCUUUAGGACUUCAUGGCCUGACUCAUCUCUGGUCUCACAUGGAGUUUCUUCCCAAAGGUGAAAAGGAGGAAGCUACACUCAGUCUGCAGGCAGCAACAGUGCCCAGAACUCUGAUGUCACAGCUGCUAAAGUGUGAGCCUUCUCACCCCCACUUUGUGACUUCAAGAUCCCUCCGGUCUCUCUUGUUGCAGAGGGCAUCCUCAUGUAUCUGGGGUCACAUAAGCAUAAUGUGGGGAGGUAAGGAGAUUGGCCUGGCCCUGCCCACCAGGCCCCUCCCGACACUCACCUGUGUCUCUCCCUGAUGACUUUCCUGCUCCAGCAGAGGCGGCCGAGGCUUUCUCUACUCAUCUUUGUGUUUUUCCUGAAGAAUAACAUCUACUUCCCUGAUGAAAUAAUAAUCCAGUAGCACCUGUCCUAGCAGGACCUUUGAUCACAGGGACUCAGACAAGACCUGGGCCUGUCCUGUCUCCAGGAACAUGCAUCGCCAGCAGCAGUCCAAUCUGGCAGAAGUGAAAGUGCCAAUCCAGAACUUGAAAGCGAAACUCCCAAGAGGCCAUCUGACUUGCUAGUAUCUUCCAUCACCAAAUAGAUGAAGUUGGAGAUUGCAGUGAAUCAUAUGCCAGAGGGAGGCCGACAUAUGUUUGAGGAAGUAUGUAUCAGAAUGUCUGCCCCAGAAAAUUGCUGGAUUUUUCACCUGAGUAAUAUGUUAGAGCAGUAUAUGUUCAAAUGCCCAAAGGCAGGCAGCAACAUCACAAAUCCAAGUACACCAUCCAUUGACUAAAUCCAGUGAAGCAUUCUCAGCACAAUAAGGAAAAACUCCAAAGAGAGGGGGCUUCCUCUAAAAUCCUCCAAAUAUUUCACCUUGUGCCUGGACAUACCUUGUUAAACUCUGGGUUGUCGGAAGUCAUGACAUAUUUUUUCUGCUUUUCAAAUGUCAUUUGUUUAUAUUAAGAACAAAGAUCAGGGGCCUCCCUGGUGGUACAAGGAUUGAAGUCUCAGCACUAUGAAGCUAUCAGCAGCCACUGCAGCAUGAGUUUGAUCGCUGCCCAGGGAGCUAAUCCACAUGACACAGCAGACCUCUCCUGUCUCGCCUGGUACUCCCCUAGCAGUGUAUUUCAGUUGAUCUGCCUGUUCUGCUCCCCACUGUCUCUGGUGAAUGCUCUCACCUCCCCCACCCGCCACCCCUCUGGCCUGUACCCCAGCCCUUACAUGCAUAAAUCUUUAGGGAAAAAAAAAGAACAAAGAUCAAUGAUAUAUUGCCCACUUUGUUCAAAAACCUUUUGCCAUCUUUCAGUGAGCUUCAAAAUUCCUCGUUCAUAGAAGGAUCCAUCUUUACUAGUGAAAAACUGAACAAGGUGCUGAUUUACAGCCUCAUCUGAAUUGAAUAUUAUACCACGCAAGUUUUGAAGAGAGUGAAACAAGUGGAAGUGUGAAGGCGCAAGUUUAGGCGGGUAUGGUGGAUGCCGCAACACAUCCCAUCCAAGCUCCAGUAAUUUCUGAUGGGUGAUCAAACUUGUGUGUGGUCUCACAUUGUGAUGGAACACUACUCCUUUACCAUUAACAAGCUCUGGAAGUUUCUGGAUGAUGGAUUCAUUCAAGCCAUCCAAUUGCCGACACUACACAUUCGAAUUGAUUGUUUAUUUCCUUGGCAGGAACUCAAAAAAACAUGACACAUUUAAAAUCCCACCACACUGAGAGCAUAGUCUUCCUCUGACGAAUGACUGCUUUUGAUGUCAUUUGAGGUGAACUAUCAAGUUGGGACCAAGACUGUGCACCUCAUUAUACACAAUCCACUUCUCAUCACCAGUUUUCAGUUGCUUCAAAAAGGAUUGUUUUCUUCACGUUUAAUGAGCUACUGCAGCUGUUUAUAUGUGCCAUCAAAUGAACUUCUUUAAGUUCGUGAGGAACCCAAAAAUCAAGCCUGCAUCUAUAUCCCAGCUUUUCCAGGUGGUCGUGAACACUUGAAUGAUGGAUGUUCAAUGUUUCUGCAAUCUCUCAAUUCGAUCGAUGCCUUUAUUUUGUCGUCAUCAACCUCUCUGACCAAGGAGCGUUGUUGAGAUCAAAAUCACCAGCAUGGAAUCUCAUGAACCAUCGCUAGCACUGACGCUGUUGUAGAGCACUGUACCAGUAAACUUUUUUUUUAAAGAUUUAUUUAUUUAUUUAUACAAGAACCGGGGUACAGGUCAGAUGUGCAGGAGGGUGAGAGGAUUCACCAGAGACAGCGGGGAACAGAACAGGCAGACUGACAAAAAAUACACUGUUGAGGGGAGCAGCGGGCGUGACAGGAGAGGUCUGCCACGCCAUGUGGGACACUUGCCUGCCGGCUGGGAUGGAACCAGCGCUAUAGAGGCUGCGGACAGCUUUAUAGGCUGUACUCAACCGCCUGCACCACCAGGGGAGGCCCUGUACCCAUAAAUUUAUGCAACUUUUCACAAGCUUGAUGUGUGUUCUUCCCGUUAUGGAAGUAAAACAGUAAAACAUGGUGAAAAUGCAGAGUUUGGUCUUCCAUCAACUUGUUGUAAAAUCUCCAAAACUAACCAAAUCGCUCAAUUUAUUUUAGAAUGAAGCUAGAACUGCCAACUGUCAAGUGACUAGCAAUAACGUAGAUGUAAAUGACCCUAGUACUUCCGAACAUGCCAUCUGUUGCAAAAAUGCGUCAUGACUUUUCCAACAACCCAAUAAUUGCAGAGGCUCUUUGAUCCAGAUUAGUUUGGUUCUGCCUUUGCCUUCAAACUUUUUUCCAGCAGAUAUGCAGACACUAUCAAAUUGCAAUUUUGUCAUGGCUUCUUGGAUGUUGCAGUUAGUCUGAAUAAAAUAAAAAGCAAAUAUAUGAAGUGACAGUAUAAUUCAACUUUCACAUUAUAAUAAUACCUAGCAUUAACCUAGCUAUUCCUUUACAGAAAAUAAUCCUUAUGACACUCUAGUAUUACAUACUGUUUACAGCUGAAAAAUACUGAGGUUUAGAAAAAAUUACGUAGUUUCUUUAAAAAUCUCACAAAUAGUAAAUGGUAGGAGUUCUGGAUUUGAAUAUCUAGCUUUAGCUUCAUAUCUCUUAUACUUCUCAUUAUACCAUUGGAACAGCCCAUAUAUCAAUAUAUAGCUGUUGUGCUCUGCAGGAUUUUUAUGUCUAAGCUAGUUUCUGCUUCUAUUCCACUUCCACCUUCCCAGUCACCCUGCUUCUUCCAUAAGACACAGCCCUUGCCUGUCUGCUGGCCCCAACCCCAUGCCCACAUUACAUAAUGGAAGAGCAGAGGGGCCCUGCUGGCCCCCUUUUAACAUCACCCUGGAGCCUAGGCCCAUCCAGCCGCCCCUGUCACAGCCAUACCAAGCCCUAGCUACUGCUGAGCGAAUCUCACGUUUGGGGUCUCUGAAUUUCUCAUCUAUAAUUUUACUUAUUAGUCUAAUUCAGGCAUUUCUUCUUUUCACACUGAGCUUCUGUUUCCUCACUGACAUCUUUACAUCCGAUAUCCAUUUGGAUAGCCAUUACUAAAUAAAACAUACAAAAUUGUACUUUUCACCAUCUCACUCCCUAUCCAAAAAUCACCAGAAGACCCCUAUUACCAAUUCACAUAGAAAAUUCCCAAUGUUACUAUGAGGAAACCACUCAGUAUUUCCUUUGAUACUGUUAAGCAGCAUUGAGUUUGCUUGUAUUAAAGGCCAGGUUGUGAAACAGUAAAGCCUAGUUCUAAGGCAACCAGCUGUCAGUAGCAGUGAUGGAAAAAGGGAAGAUUAAAAAAAUCUUCUAAGAAACUUUUAUUAAAUAUGUUUAUUUGAAUAAAAUAUAGGAAAGUACAAAAAUCAUAAUAAAUGCCCACAAAGCAAAACUGCACACAUUUGUGCUACUACCGCUUAGAUUAAUAGAAGUGUAGGAAGAAGCAGUACCUGACCAGCAUAAUGCUGAUAACAAAACCAAAGACAGCACAAAAAAUGAAAACUGCAAGCCAAUUUCUCUGAUGAACAAAGUCAAGAAUCCUCAGCAAAAUAUUAGCAAACCGAAUUCAACAAUACAUUAAAAAAAUACACCAUGACCAAGUUGGAUUUAUUCCAGGGAUGCAGGGAUGUUUAUCAUACACAAAUUCAUCAAUGUGCUUCAGUAAAUCAACAAAUUGAAAAAUAAAAAUUAUAUGAUCAUGUCAAAAGUGCAGAAAAUGCAUGUGAUAAAAUUCAGCCUGCAUUUAUGAUAAAAACUCAAUAAAAUGGCACAGAAGGAACAUACGUAAAGAUAACAAAGGGCAUACACAACAUAGCCAUAGGUAACAUAUCUCAUUUGGGAAAAGUUGAGGGUUUUCCUCUAAAAUCAGGAAUAAGACGGAGAUGUUCAACUCACCGUUAUUUAACAUAAUUUCACACGUCCUGGUCAGAGCAAUUUGGCAAGAAAAAUAAAAGAUAUCCAGAUUGGAAAAGAAGUACAACUUGGCCCUAUAUACUGACUUAUAAACAGAUGAAAUGGUAUUAUACGUAGAAAUCUCUAAAAACUCCAACAGCAACAAACUGUUAGAAACAAUAAAGUUGCAGGCCAUAACAUACAAAAAUCUAUUGUGUUUAUGUACAACAUGAACUACCAGAAAGAGCAAUAAGGAAAACAAUACCAUUCACAAGUGCAGCAAAAAGUGUAAAAUUCAUAGGAAUAAAUUUAAGCAAGGAAGGAAAGGAAUUGUACACUGAAAAGUAUAAAACACUGUUGAAGGAAAUUAGAGAACACACAAAGAAAUGGAAAGACAUGCUGCACUCUUGAAUCAGAAGAAAUCAAUGUCAAAAUGGCCACUGUACUUAAAGUAAUAUAGAGAUUUAACUUAACGCCUACUAAGACCCUCUCGGCCUUCUUCCUCAGAAGCAUAUUUUUAAAAUCCUAAAAUUUCGGGCCUCCCCGGUGGCACAGCAGUUGAGCGCUGGGUUGCGAAGCUCCCCGCGGCCUCUGCGGCGCCGGUUC